RNAcentral lists this ribosomal RNA (301 nucleotides) under uncultured bacterium. Its description in RNAcentral is "partial 16S ribosomal RNA". It matches the Rfam family "Bacterial small subunit ribosomal RNA", at positions 509 to 809 of the family's 1533-position model. The record is from RNAcentral.
CAGCCGCCGCGGUAAUACGGAGGAUCCAAGCGUUAUCCGGAAUCAUUGGGUUUAAAGGGUCCGUAGGCGGUCUUGUAAGUCAGUGGUGAAAGCCCAUCGCUCAACGGUGGAACGGCCAUUGAUACUGCAGGACUUGAAUUAUUGGGAAGUAACUAGAAUAUGUAGUGUAGCGGUGAAAUGCUUAGAGAUUACAUGGAAUACCAAUUGCGAAGGCAGGUUACUACCAAUUGAUUGACGCUGAUGGACGAAAGCGUGGGUAGCGAACAGGAUUAGAUACCCGAGUAGUCCCUGUCUCUUAUAA